AGUGAACGCUGGCGGUAGGCCUAACACAUGCAAGUCGAACGGCAGCACAGUAAGAGCUUGCUCUUACGGGUGGCGAGUGGCGGACGGGUGAGGAAUACAUCGGAAUCUACUUUUUCGUGGGGGAUAACGUAGGGAAACUUACGCUAAUACCGCAUGCGACCUACGGGUGAAAGCAGGGGAUCUUCGGACCUUGCGCGAUUGAAUGAGCCGAUGUCGGAUUAGCUGGUUGGCGGGGUAAAGGCCCACCAAGGCGACGAUCCGUAGCGGGUCUGAGGUGAUGAUCGGCCAAACUGGAACUAGGCAACGGUCCGGACCCUGACGGGAGGAAGCAGUGGGGAAUAUUGGCAAAGGGGCGCAAGCCUGAUCCAGCCAUACCGCGUGGGGGAAGAAGGCCUUCGGGUGGUAAAGCCCUUUUGUUGGGAAAGAAAAGCAGCAGGUUAAUACCCCGCUGUUCGGACGGUACCCAAAGAAUAAGCACCGGCUAACUUCGU
RNAcentral lists this ribosomal RNA (491 nucleotides) under uncultured bacterium. Its description in RNAcentral is "partial 16S ribosomal RNA". It matches the Rfam family "Bacterial small subunit ribosomal RNA", at positions 29 to 506 of the family's 1533-position model. The record is from RNAcentral.